RNAcentral lists this long non-coding RNA (506 nucleotides) under Manduca sexta (tobacco hornworm). RNAcentral describes it as "uncharacterized LOC115451922, transcript variant X2". The record is from RNAcentral. Lineage: Eukaryota; Metazoa; Arthropoda; Insecta; Lepidoptera; Sphingidae.
AAUGUCAAAUGUCAUGCCAGCUGUCAUUUAUCCAGACGAAUUCGUCAAAACGAAUCAUUUAGAUUUGAGUGCAAUACUUUAGUCAAUUAUUGCGUAAAAAGUUGAUUUAAAAAAUCUUCCUAAAUUAUUCCAAACAUUACUCCAUCAAUAGUAAAUAUGUUUAAAGGCUUGAUAAUUUUUGGAGCUGGUGUGUAUACAGGGGUGUAUUUCGCCCAAAAUUAUGAGGAUGCUGUCCGACUAAUUUGUAAGAAUACUAUUCAGGAAUGUGACAAGGCCAGGGAUAAAAAAAAAUGAUUGAAAAAGUGGAAGAUCCAAAGGCAUUGUUUGAAAAAGUGCAAGCGUUUAUAAAGACAAAGUUGUCUGAAGUUAAUGAUGGAAAAAAAGGAGGGGGAAAUUGAUGGCAACUAUGUAUUUAAAUUAGGCAUGAUGAAAUGAAACAUUAAGAUUUGUACAUACUUUUAAUAGGUCUAUGUGAUGAUAAUUUAAAUAAAAUUAGUACAUACAUA